This 87-nucleotide microRNA precursor is filed under the name Medicago truncatula (barrel medic). RNAcentral describes it as "MIR2617 microRNA precursor family". It matches the Rfam family "MIR2617 microRNA precursor family". Lineage: Eukaryota; Viridiplantae; Streptophyta; Magnoliopsida; Fabales; Fabaceae. The record is from Rfam by way of RNAcentral.
AUGUAGUGUGACAUGCCCGUUUGAUGAUAUACUCUGAUUUAUUAUCUGUUAUUUAAUUGCUUUGGGAUAACGGGGUGUUACAAUUGG